AUACUGACACUGAGGUGCGAAAGCGUGGGGGAGCAAACAGGAUUAGAUACCCUGGUAGUCCACGCCCUAAACGAUGUCUACUAGUUGUCGGGUUUUAAUUAACUUGGUAACGCAGCUAACGCGUGAAGUAGACCGCCUGGGGAGUACGGUCGCAAGAUUAAAACUCAAAGGAAUUGACGGGGACCCGCACAAGCGGUGGAUGAUGUGGAUUAAUUCGAUGCAACGCGAAAAACCUUACCUACCCUUGACAUGUCCAGGAGCCCGAAGAGAUUUGGGUGUGCCCGAAAGGGAGCUGGAACACAGGUGCUGCAUGGCUGUCGUCAGCUCGUGUCGUGAGAUGUUGGGUUAAGUCCCGCAACGAGCGCAACCCUUGUCGUUAAUUGCCAUCAUUUAGUUGGGCACUUUAACGAGACUGCCGGUGACAAACCGGAGGAAGGCGGGGACGACGUCAAGUCAUCAUGGCCCUUACGAGUAGGGCUACACACGUGCUACAAUGGUCGGUACAAAGGGUUGCUAGCCCGCGAGGGUACGCCAAUCUCAAAAAGCCGAUCGUAGUCCGGAUUGGAGUCUGCAACUCGACUCCAUGAAGUCGGAAUCGC
RNAcentral lists this ribosomal RNA (599 nucleotides) under uncultured Dechloromonas sp. Its description in RNAcentral is "bacterial SSU rRNA". It matches the Rfam family "Bacterial small subunit ribosomal RNA", at positions 737 to 1335 of the family's 1533-position model. Lineage: Bacteria; Pseudomonadati; Pseudomonadota; Betaproteobacteria; Rhodocyclales; Azonexaceae. The record is from RNAcentral.